Long non-coding RNA from Dermatophagoides pteronyssinus (European house dust mite), 155 nucleotides. The record is from RefSeq and is a predicted model, not a curated record. NCBI's taxonomy places the organism in Eukaryota, Metazoa, Arthropoda, Arachnida, Sarcoptiformes, Pyroglyphidae.
UCUGUGUGUCUAUGUUGAAAAUUGAAUCAAUAAAACUGAACAGAAAAAACACCUGCACACAACACACAUACAUACAAUAAAAGAAUGAUAAUUGUAAUGACAGUUAGUAUAACGAUAGUGGAAAACGGUGUUGAAAAGGUAGAAAUAGAAUCGAA